CUCCUGCCCCCAUUCCCCAAGCGGCCAAGCCCUAACUCAGGCCUCCCUUGCCGACCACGACUGAACGACUCCCUUGCCGACCACACGGAGACGAGACAUGGAGAUACCGGAACACUCCCUUGCCAAAGACCGCGACCCUUGUCUCCGGUCUCCACCCUUGCCGACGACGAACAGACGAAGCUGCUGCCCAACGAGACACGGACACCGGAAGACUCCCUUGCCGACGACGAAGACCCUUGUCUCCGGUCUCCACCCUUGCCGACGAUGAAUGGACGAAGUUGCUGCCCGACGAGACCGAGUGAGUUCGUUAAGUAAGCAAAAAAUUGGCAAUUUUGAGGAAAUCAGGCAGUAGCUCUAAGAGGAUGUUAUGGAAGAAAAAUGUAGCUCUGCGGCUUUGCUUUGUGGCAUUUCUCCCUGACAUUUUGGACUCCAAGGCAUAGGGAAGGAACAAAUACAUUGAGACACUGUUAUCUGUUGCUGAGAAGUUCAAAACGAGGCCCUACAGGUAAGUGCAAUAAUGUGCAAAUUAUUUUUAUUGAUUUAUUAUUUUCUGGAAGGCUUAAGCUAAUAAGUAAUCCGUAACGAAUGCAAGUAGACACAAAAUUCAUUCAUAAAUUGACAUGGCUGUCAAGCUUAACCAGUCUUAAUGAUAAUACAACUAUGUUUGGGCUGCUGCCGGUAAGCAACCAGAUCUCGAGAAGCAUAUUGGUGUUGGUGGUUAUGGCUAUCCUGCACUAGUAGUCCUAAGUGUUAAAAACCAAGUAUAUGCACCCCUUAAGAGUUCAUUUCAACACGACCAUAUUAAAGAGUUCGUGAGAGAAAUUGGAGAAUUAGGGGGUAGGGGAAGAAAUUUGCCUUUAACUGGCACCCUUACAAUUGUAAAGACCAAACCUUGGGACGGUAAAGAUGGGGAAAUCAUGGAAGAGGAUGAGUUUUCCCUUGAAGAACUUAUGGGAGAUGAUACAGUUAUAACAAGGAUGAAUCUUAAACUUCAAUACUUCUUCUUUCAACAUUAUAGAGAAUGGUACUCUCUACUUUAAAUUUUUGAGGAUUUAAUAGGUUAGAUAAUGUGUUAAUAUCUUGUACUUAAUCAGGUUUUAGACAUAUUUAAUGCAAUGAUACUCGUACCAU
This is a long non-coding RNA of Ipomoea nil (Japanese morning glory), 1131 nucleotides long. RefSeq lists it as uncharacterized. Lineage: Eukaryota; Viridiplantae; Streptophyta; Magnoliopsida; Solanales; Convolvulaceae. The record is from RefSeq and is a predicted model, not a curated record. The transcript is spliced from 4 exons.